GAUUUAGAGGAAUACAAAACACUGAACUUCACCGAUGUAGAUGAAGACGCCCAAUCAACAAAACGCACCGGACAGCGCGCGAUAAGGGUGUUUGACCAUAUGACCUCCAUCAUCUGAGACUGAUGCAUUAUCCAUGAGCUCCAGCCUCUCCAAGGAACCAAUCCUCUCCCUCAAACUGCUCCUUUUGGAGAAACCCCAACAACAGACGAGGUACAGCUACUCCUGUUGCUAAGUCUCAAACUGUUUCAGCUGCUGUGGUUCCUCCCACCGCCCCCUGAUACCCCCUGCUGUAGCCCACCCCGCUCCAACUACCACAGCCAACUACUUCUCCAUUGCCCUGGACAGAAGUUCUCGUGCAAGAUGGGUAUUGGACACAUGUACACUCAUCGAACCCAUACUAGGACUAGACAUUACAGGCAGUAUAUAUAUAUAUAAACUGUCUCUAACUUUCUGUGUUACUUUACUCUGGAUUGCUGGGUUUUUGUUCUACUAAACUUGCUUGAUUCUUGUUUGUUGGGUGGUUAUGCUAAACUUACUUGGCUCUUGUUUGCUUGAUGGUUCUACUCAAGUUACGUGCCUCUUAUUUGCUGGGUGGUUCUGCUAAACUUACUUGGCUCUUGUUUGCUGGGUGGUUCUAUUAAAGUUACUUGACUCUUCUUUGCUGGGUGGUUCUGCUAAACUUACUUGGCUCUUGUUUGCUGGGUUUUUCUGCUAAACUUACUUGGCUCUUGUUUGCUGGGUGGUUCUAUUAAACUUACUUGGCUCUUGUUUGCUGGGUGGUUCUAUUAAAGUUACUUGACUCUUCUUUGCUGGGUGGUUCUGCUAAACUUACUUGGCUCUUGUUUGCUGGGUGGUUCUAUUAAACUUACUUGGCUCUUGUUUGCUGGGUGGUUCUACUAAAUUUACUUGACUCUUCUUUGCUGGGUGGUUCUGCUAAACUUACUUGGCUCUUCACUGGAUUUUUGUGCAUGUCUGUUAAAUGGUAGCUUCAGCCCAAAGAAAUGUUCACUUCUAAGAACUGAAUUAAAUGUUUAUGCCAAAAGGGCACUGCUAUCAAUUUGGCCCUAUGACCCUUUUAAAUAAGAGGGGACAGCAGUGAACAAUGUAGCCAUUUUCUUUGUUUUAUGAAAUGUGUCAUUUUUAGUUAGGAAAAAUUCACAUUUAUUAUGAAAAUCUAAAAUUUAAACAGGGCAUAUUAAAAAUGUUGGCACUGAGAAGUGGAAGCAUACAAAUACUAUUAAAAGUAAACAUAAGACUUUUAUAAACAUUUGCAGAGAUGAAGGGACUUCACUUGUAAGUAGAAGAAUUCCAAGUAAUACCUGCCACAUCAAAAUAGAAAAUGGAAUUUUGCAGAAUUAUAGCCUUUCUUUUCAUAUUAUCAUUUUAGCCUAUUUUGAUGACUUACUUUGAGAUCUCCAGUCACUAAUUAUCAUUGCUUUCCUCAAACAAAGAUCUGAGCAAAUCUGACUUAUUUAAAAAAAGCAGCAGAUGCUGUUAAACCAAAUGAGGUAUUUUAUUUUAUUUUAUUUCUCUUUUUUACUUUUACUUUUACUUUUACCAUUUACUAUUUUGCAACACUGUUCAGAGCCCCUUAAGGCAAGGGUAAAUGAAGGUUAGCACUGGCCGAUGGCUGAACUAACGAUGAGUGGGUGUGUGAGCGAGAGUGAAACUUUAAUGUCCAGUUCAGGUUUCUCCUCUUCAUUACUUUAUUCAUCAAAACAUUGUGUUCCUAUACCCUUCUUUUCAACAACUGAAAUUAUAGUUCCUGGAAGAAGGCCAAUGUUUGUUUUUUACUGUUUCUUUAUAUUUAGUGCAUCUAGUUUAAAGCAAACACGAGUUACGUACUUAAAGUUUGUUUUAUAAAUGAAAGUCAGCAAACUAAGGUAGUCAUCUCACAUGAAUAAAAACAAUGUAAUUUUUAAAAACUGCACAGUCACCCGGACAAUGUCACUAUUUCUUCACACACUGCUUUUAUCACAACUACACACAAGUAUCUUGAACAGUGUCUUUGUCACGGACUGCUGCUCUCCUCACUAGUCACGCGGUUCGGCCAGCCACGUGCAGUGGGAGUUAAUUGUUAUUGUCUUAUUUGUAACCACACCCUCCUUG
This is a non-coding RNA of Electrophorus electricus (electric eel), 2109 nucleotides long. The record is from RefSeq and is a predicted model, not a curated record. Lineage: Eukaryota; Metazoa; Chordata; Actinopteri; Gymnotiformes; Gymnotidae.